Fundulus heteroclitus (mummichog) is the source of this 251-nucleotide long non-coding RNA. RefSeq lists it as uncharacterized. The transcript is spliced from 3 exons. The record is from RefSeq and is a predicted model, not a curated record. NCBI's taxonomy places the organism in Eukaryota, Metazoa, Chordata, Actinopteri, Cyprinodontiformes, Fundulidae.
UAACUUAUUCCACUCUGAAUCGAUGCAUCAAACAGUUUAGGUUCCAUGCCUCUGAUGCCUCUACAAAACCAUGUGAGGUCAACCCUCAAGCGGCUAAACUCUCAGGACAGGCUGUACAGAACUGGAACUUCCUCCGAUUGCUACCUCUUAUGUAGACAUCUUGAAAACGGGUGACAUCAUAAGAAGUUCCAUCACAAAAGUCAUCCAAGACCUUCUUUCGACUGGGUUGAUUCUGUCCAUGCGAGAAUUUC